Molecule: non-coding RNA, 521 nt
Filed under: Pan troglodytes (chimpanzee)
Lineage: Eukaryota; Metazoa; Chordata; Mammalia; Primates; Hominidae
Description: Eukaryotic large subunit ribosomal RNA
Rfam family: Eukaryotic large subunit ribosomal RNA
Source: Rfam by way of RNAcentral
GGGAUUAGCAAAUAUUCAAGACACACUGAGUAACUUUGAACGCCGAAGUGGAGAGGCUCGUUCAUGUGCAACAGGCAGUUGAACAUGGCCGUCAGUCGGUCCUGAUGAGUAUGGUAAGCAGAUGCGCCGCUUGCCCGAUAGUCACGCGAGCGCAUGCGCCUCUCUUGCCCGUCGCGCCCGAUCGAAAGGCGCUAGUCGCGGUCAGAUCCCCGAAUCCGGAGUGCGGAGCACUCGGGCGCCGCGAGGGUCGUGCGUAACGCGACCGAUCCCGAAAGCGGCCGCGACGCCCCGGGGGAGAGUUCUCUUUUUCUUUGUGAAGGCGGGCAGGGCGCCCUGGAAUGGGGUUCGCCCCGAUAAGACGGGCCCGUGCCUUGGAACGCGUCCACUUCCUAUACGGUCGGCGGCGUCGGGUGAGCUCUCGCUGGCCCUUGAACAAACUCCGGUGGGAGAUGUUGUAAAUCUCGAGCGCCGCGGCCGUACCCCUAUCUGCAGCGAGCGCUCCAAGGAAUCAGCCUCUGGCA